This 347-nucleotide unclassified non-coding RNA is filed under the name soil metagenome. RNAcentral describes it as "partial contains 5.8S ribosomal RNA, internal transcribed spacer 2, and large subunit ribosomal RNA". The stretch from base 1 to 120 matches the Rfam family "5.8S ribosomal RNA", at positions 35 to 154 of the family's 154-position model. The record is from RNAcentral.
GAUGAAGAACGUAGCGAAAUGCGAUACGUAAUGUGAAUUGCAGAAUUCAGUGAAUCAUCGAGUCUUUGAACGCACAUUGCGCCCUCUGGUAUUCCGGAGGGCAUGCCUGUCCGAGCGUCAUUGCUGCCCUCCAGCCCGGCUGGUGUGUUGGGCCCCGUCCCCCUUCCCGGGGGGACGGGCCCGAAAGGCAGCGGCGGCACCGCGUCCGGUCCUCGAGCGUAUGGGGCUUUGUCACCCGCUCUUGUAGGCCCGGUCGGCGCCAGCCGACCCCCUCAAUCUAUUUUUCAGGUUGACCUCGGAUCAGGUAGGGAUACCCGCUGAACUUAAGCAUAUCAAUAAGCGGAGGA